This is a non-coding RNA of Ictidomys tridecemlineatus (thirteen-lined ground squirrel), 837 nucleotides long. The record is from RefSeq and is a predicted model, not a curated record. NCBI's taxonomy places the organism in Eukaryota, Metazoa, Chordata, Mammalia, Rodentia, Sciuridae.
CUUGCCUGCACAUUUGCUUGUGUCCUGUUUCCCAGCUUCAGUUCAGGAUCCACGAGGGCCCAGGGCUUGACAGGGACACUCUGUGGGUGAAGCCACAAGCAAGGGUAGACAAGAUGGCAAGCUGUCCUCACAAGGCAGGCCACACGGUCCUGGAAGUCCCCAACACUGUCAUGGACCAAGAUGAUCCAUGAUCUGCUGGACGAAGAAUCCAGCUGGCUGGACGCUCCUGCCCGCCCGUGCCGAGGUUUAGCUUGCAACUGGGGCAGAGGAUGGACGUUUCAAUUCCAGUUCACGGUCAGGGCCUGGGUGGGGGGAGGCCAGGCACUGCAGCAGGGUCAAGGUAGGGAGCUCCUCCUGGGACCCCGGGGGUGUGACCUCUGCACUUCCAAUUACUGAGCCGGGUCUGGGAGGGGCUGUGCAGCUAGUGAGAAGGGGGCUCCUCUCCCUGAUGCCCCUGGGCCCCGCCGGAGGUCGGUGAGUCAGCACCUACCGACUCUUUCUGAUCCUGGAAUCUGGCACAGGAUUUGGCACGGCGUAGGCGUCAGCGGGAGAGGCAGUGCCGCCCAAAGACUUGCGGAGCCAAAGACGAGAUGUGGGAAAGAUCGCCCAUCUCUCUGAAGCGUCCAGAAGAGUGCGCAGGCGUUGGGGGCAGGCGGUGUGAUCGGCUGGAAUACGCACUUCUGGGGCCUCCGAGCUGACCUUGUCCCUGGUGCCAGCACCUGAGGGUGCUGACACAUGAAAGACUGGCUGCCUUGGGCCCUCAAGGCCAUCGACCCCUUGCAAGGACUACAUGCUACCACCCAAAUCCCCAAAGAGCCUCUCCCAGGGAAGGACCCU